RNAcentral lists this ribosomal RNA (427 nucleotides) under uncultured bacterium. RNAcentral describes it as "partial 16S ribosomal RNA". It matches the Rfam family "Bacterial small subunit ribosomal RNA", at positions 354 to 796 of the family's 1533-position model. The record is from RNAcentral.
GUGAGGAAUAUUGCACAAUGGGCGAAAGCCUGAUGCAGCAACGCCGCGUGAGUGAUGAAGGCCUUUGGGUCGUAAAACUCUGUCCUUGGGGAAGAAAAAAAUGACGGUACCCUUGGAGGAAGCCCCGGCUAACUACGUGCCAGCAGCCGCGGUAAUACGUAGGGGGCAAGCGUUAUCCGGAAUUAUUGGGCGUAAAGAGUGCGUAGGUGGUUUUGUAAGCGUAGGGUGAAAGGCAGUAGCUCAACUAUUGUUAGCCCUGCGAACUGUGAGACUUGAGUGCAGGAGAGGAAAGUUGAAUUCCUAGUGUAGCGGUGAAAUGCGUAGAUAUUAGGAGGAACAACAGUGGCGAAGGCGACUUUCUGGACUGUAACUGACACUGAGGCACGAAAGCGUGGGUAGCAAACAGGAUUAGAUACCCGAGUAGUCC